Long non-coding RNA from Dipodomys spectabilis (banner-tailed kangaroo rat), 595 nucleotides. RefSeq lists it as uncharacterized. Lineage: Eukaryota; Metazoa; Chordata; Mammalia; Rodentia; Heteromyidae. The transcript is spliced from 3 exons. The record is from RefSeq and is a predicted model, not a curated record.
AGGCCUCCUCCGUGACCCUCGCCCCCCUCGCCGCCUCCUGUCGGUAUCGGGUGCGGGUGGGGGGGGAGGAGCUGGUCUUCACCACCCCGCCCCUCCCCCGCCCCGCACAUCUGGGACCGCUUCCUCCUGGCCGUGCCCCACCUCACCCCGUCCACCCUGUACCAGCUGCAGGUGCGCGCGCUCACCCGCCUCGGGGAAGGACCAGCAGCCACCGGGACCUUCAGGACCCCUGACCUCCCACCUGCACUUGCUGCGCCUCGGCCCCAUGGGAAGCAGCCCUAUCCUGCUCCCUCUGACAAGCGACCUCCAGGGAGAUACUGAUCUCUUCCUCCAUGGGAUGGGACCGUGCACAGGAUGUGAGCUCCUUGCACACAACAUGGCUCCCACGAGCAGAACUUGGUGCCCGCACUGGGUGCUUACUUUGGAGAACUCCAUCCCCGGGGUCACUUCUGGCCACCAUUCAUGCAUCUGCAAGCACGCAAGAGACGAUGAAGGGAGGGAGGCCAUCUUCAGAGGAAAAAACACAGAUAUGGGUGGAUGGAUGGAUGGAUGGGUGGAUGGAUGGAUGGAUGGGUGGAUGGAUGGAUGGGUGGAU